GAUGAACGCUGGCGGCGUGCUUAACACAUGCAAGUCGAACGGGGUGCUCAUGACGGAGGAUUCGUCCAACGGAUUGAGUUACCUAGUGGCGGACGGGUGAGUAACGCGUGAGGAACCUGCCUUGGAGAGGGGAAUAACACUCCGAAAGGAGUGCUAAUACCGCAUGAAGCAGUUGGGUCGCAUGGCUCUGACUGCCAAAGAUUUAUCGCUCUGAGAUGGCCUCGCGUCUGAUUAGCUAGUAGGCGGGGUAACGGCCCACCUAGGCGACGAUCAGUAGCCGGACUGAGAGGUUGACCGGCCACAUUGGGACUGAGACACGGCCCAGACUCCUACGGGAGGCAGCAGUGGGGAAUAUUGGGCAAUGGGCGCAAGCCUGACCCAGCAACGCCGCGUGAAGGAAGAAGGCUUUCGGGUUGUAAACUUCUUUUGUCGGGGACGAAACAAAUGACGGUAC
Molecule: ribosomal RNA, 454 nt
Filed under: uncultured bacterium
Lineage: Bacteria
Description: bacterial SSU rRNA
Rfam family: Bacterial small subunit ribosomal RNA
Source: RNAcentral